AUCGGCAGAAAUACAAGAAGAGGGCAACGCAGGACCGGGGGAACCCGGAGAAUGCGAGUCAACAAGCUUUUUGGAGCAAGGGCGAAGAGUAAGCGUUCAAGUGACAAAGGGCAGACGGGGAAUGCCUAGGCAGCAGAAGGCGAAGAAGGACGUGGCGAGCUGCGAAAAGCUUCGGGAGCCGCUCACAGGCGUUGAUCCGGAGGAAUCCGAAUGGGGGAACCCA
This 223-nucleotide ribosomal RNA is filed under the name uncultured bacterium. RNAcentral describes it as "partial 16S ribosomal RNA". The stretch from base 95 to 223 matches the Rfam family "Bacterial large subunit ribosomal RNA", at positions 1 to 130 of the family's 2925-position model. The record is from RNAcentral.